UACGUAGGGUGCGAGCGUUGUCCGGAAUUAUUGGGCGUAAAGAGCUCGUAGGCGGUUUGUCGCGUCGGCCGUGAAAUCUCCACGCUUAACGUGGAGCGUGCGGUCGAUACGGGCAGACUUGAGUUCGGUAGGGGAGACUGGAAUUCCUGGUGUAGCGGUGAAAUGCGCAGAUAUCAGGAGGAACACCGGUGGCGAAGGCGGGUCUCUGGGCCGAUACUGACGCUGAGGAGCGAAAGCCAGGGGAGCAAACGGG
RNAcentral lists this ribosomal RNA (253 nucleotides) under uncultured bacterium. RNAcentral describes it as "partial 16S ribosomal RNA". It matches the Rfam family "Bacterial small subunit ribosomal RNA", at positions 524 to 776 of the family's 1533-position model. The record is from RNAcentral.